Molecule: non-coding RNA, 81 nt
Organism: Trichonephila clavipes
Lineage: Eukaryota; Metazoa; Arthropoda; Arachnida; Araneae; Nephilidae
Source: the annotation of a GenBank genome assembly
UUCAGGAUGGCCAAGCGGUCAAAGGCGCUGCGUUCAUGUCGAAGUCGGUUUUGGCGUGGGUUCGAAUCCCACUUCUGAUAA